RNAcentral lists this ribosomal RNA (460 nucleotides) under uncultured bacterium. RNAcentral's name for it is "bacterial SSU rRNA". It matches the Rfam family "Bacterial small subunit ribosomal RNA", at positions 339 to 791 of the family's 1533-position model. The record is from RNAcentral.
GUACGGGAGGCAGCAGUGGGGAAUUUUGGACAAUGGGGGCAACCCUGAUCCAGCAAUGCCGCGUGAGUGAAGAAGGCCUUCGGGUUGUAAAGCUCUUUUGUCAGGGAAGAAAAGGUCGCCUCUAAUACAGGCGGCUCAUGACGGUACCUGAAGAAUAAGCACCGGCUAACUACGUGCCAGCAGCCGCGGUAAUACGUAGGGUGCAAGCGUUAAUCGGAAUUACUGGGCGUAAAGCGUGCGCAGGCGGUUAUAUAAGUCAGAUGUGAAAUCCCUGGGCUCAACCUAGGAACUGCAUUUGAGACUGUAUGGCUAGAGUGUGUCAGAGGGGGGUAGAAUUCCACGUGUAGCAGUGAAAUGCGUAGAUAUGUGGAGGAAUACCGAUGGCGAAGGCAGCCCCCUGGGAUAACACUGACGCUCAUGCACGAAAGCGUGGGGAGCAAACAGGAUUAGAUACCCUGGU